UUGGAGGGCAAGUCUGGUGCCAGCAGCCGCGGUAAUUCCAGCUCCAAUAGCGUAUAUUAAAGUUGUUGCAGUUAAAAAGCUCGUAGUUGAAUUUCGGGGUUAGUAGGUUGGUCAUGCCUCUGGUAUGUACUGAUCUCACUGAUUCCUCCUUCCUUAUGAACCGUAAUGCCAUUAAUUUGGUGUUGCGGGGAAUUUGGACUGUUACUUUGAAAAAAUUAGAGUGUUUAAAGCAGGCUAACGCUUGAAUACAUUAGCAUGGAAUAAUGAAAUAGGACGUUCGAUCUUAUUUUGUUGGUUUCUAGGAUUGACGUAAUGAUUAAUAGGGAUAGUUGGGGGCAUUAGUAUUCAAUUGUCAGAGGUGAAAUUCUUGGAUUUAUUGAAGACUAACUACUGCGAAAGCAUUUGCCAAGGAUGUUUUCAUUAAUCAAGAACGAAAGUUAGGGGAUCGAAGACGAUCAGAUACCGUCGUAGUCUUAACCAUAAACUAUGCCGACUAGGGAUCGGAUGAUGUUAAUUUUUUAAUGACUCAUUCGGCACCUUACGGGAAAC
Molecule: ribosomal RNA, 549 nt
Filed under: uncultured Glomus
Lineage: Eukaryota; Fungi; Glomeromycota; Glomeromycetes; Glomerales; Glomeraceae
Description: SSU rRNA
Rfam family: Eukaryotic small subunit ribosomal RNA
Source: RNAcentral